This 468-nucleotide ribosomal RNA is filed under the name uncultured bacterium. RNAcentral describes it as "partial 16S ribosomal RNA". It matches the Rfam family "Bacterial small subunit ribosomal RNA", at positions 28 to 507 of the family's 1533-position model. The record is from RNAcentral.
GACGAACGCUGGCGGCGUGCCUAACACAUGCAAGUCGAACGGAAAGGCCCUGCUUUUGUGGGGUGCUCGAGUGGCGAACGGGUGAGUAACACGUGAGUAACCUGCCCUUGACUUUGGGAUAACUUCAGGAAACUGCGGCUAAUACCGGAUAGGAGCUCCUGCUGCACGGUGGGGGUUGGAUAGUUUCGGCGGUUGGGGAUGGACUCGCGGCUUAUCAGCUUGUUUGUGGGGUAGUGGCUUACCCCGGGUUUGACGGAUAGCCGGCAUGAGAGGGUGGCCGGGCACAAGGGGACUAAGAGAGGGAGCAGACGGCAACGGGAGGCAACAGGGGGGAGUAUGACACAGUGAGGGGGAGUGUGAGGCAAAGACGCCGCGUGCGGAAAGAAGGCCUACGGGGGAUAAACCGAUUUCGCCUGUGACGAAGCGUGAGUGACGGUAAUGGGUAAAGAAGCACCGGCUAACUACGUG